UUUUGUUUCACUUCUGCACUUAAAUUAUUAUAUAUAUUUUUUUGGAUUUUCGGGGUCGUUACAGUUGGUAUCAGAGCCGCAUUUCUCGGACCCGUUCCUUACACAACGAUACUUAGAGAAACACCAAAUCAAUGAAUUAUCACUCAACCCUUCCUUAUGCAAUGCAGGUACAAAGAGAUGAGGAGAGGAAGACCCCGACUAAACCGAGCAGUUCGAGAUGGUUCACUUAGACAAGAUGUUGACCGGAUAUUUGAGAUGCUGUAGAGACUCAACGUUGCCCAGCAGGGCCAAGAGGAGAGGAGAGAGCUACCUAACCCUCCCCUGCUACCACAGGUUCAGCCACCACUGCAGUGAGAGGAUCCCGAGCCACCCCGAUACAACCCUGCUCCUCCACAGUACCACCCAGCACCACCGCACGCACAGUAGGCUAGGCAUGCGACACCUAGUAUGCCUAGGCCCUGCGCAAGCAGCAACAGGCCU
RNAcentral lists this long non-coding RNA (480 nucleotides) under Carica papaya (papaya). Its description in RNAcentral is "long non-coding RNA (CPAP_LNC000796)". Lineage: Eukaryota; Viridiplantae; Streptophyta; Magnoliopsida; Brassicales; Caricaceae. The record is from RNAcentral.